UCGGAACCAGCCCGGACCUGAUUAUAGAAUUGGAUGCAAGCCUCCAUGGCUGGGGCGCACGUUGUGGCAACAUAUCCACCGGUGGCAGAUGGUCCAUGGAGGAAUCCACAAUGCACAUAAAUUGCCUGGAACUUCUGGCAGGAUCGUUCGCCAUCCGCAGUCUCUCCCCUACGGUAGGGAGAUGUUGUAUACUGCUCCGUAUGGACAACAUCUCG
Non-coding RNA from Pelobates cultripes (western spadefoot toad), 215 nucleotides. The record is from the annotation of a GenBank genome assembly. Lineage: Eukaryota; Metazoa; Chordata; Amphibia; Anura; Pelobatidae.